Long non-coding RNA from Poecilia latipinna (sailfin molly), 253 nucleotides. RefSeq lists it as uncharacterized. The transcript is spliced from 3 exons. The record is from RefSeq and is a predicted model, not a curated record. NCBI's taxonomy places the organism in Eukaryota, Metazoa, Chordata, Actinopteri, Cyprinodontiformes, Poeciliidae.
CGAUUCGGUCACUCAGCAGGUCGGCCUCAUCCAUGUGAUGUGUAGACAGAAUCACGGUGCGGCCUGCACAAGGACCAAACUUUCACUAAGCUAUGAAUGAUAGUUUUACAGUUUCGAAAGUUCACUACCAAAUUAGGGAGUGUUUGUAAAAUGCCAAAAAGCAGGAGAUCCCAAAUGGACCUUCUGGAGUACGGGUCCACUCCCGAGGUGGGCUCGUCCAGAAUGACAACCUUGGAUCCUCCAACAAAUGCCA